RNAcentral lists this ribosomal RNA (468 nucleotides) under uncultured bacterium. RNAcentral's name for it is "partial 16S ribosomal RNA". It matches the Rfam family "Bacterial small subunit ribosomal RNA", at positions 28 to 507 of the family's 1533-position model. The record is from RNAcentral.
GACGAACGCUGGCGGCGUGCUUAACACAUGCAAGUCGAACGGCAGGGCCCUGCUCUUGCGGGGUGCUCGUGUGGAGAACGGGUGUGUAACACGUGAGUAACCUGCCCUUGACUUUGGGAUAACUUCAGGAAACUGGGGCUAAUACCGGAUAGGAGCUCCUGCUGCCUGGUGGGGGAUGGAAAGUUUCGGCGGUUGGGGAUGGAUUCGCGGUUUAUCAGCUUGUUGGUGGGGUAGUGGCUUACCAAGUCUUUGACGGGUGGCCGGCCUGGGCGGGUGACCGGCCACAAGGGGACUGAGAGACGGCCCAGAGUGCUACGGGGGGCAGCAGUGGGGAAUAUGGCACAAUGGGCGGGAGCGUGAGGCAGCAGCGCCGCGGUCGGAAUGACGGCCUGCGGGGGGUGAACCGCUUUCGCCUAAGACGAAGCGGGGGUGACGGUAAUGGGUGAAGAAGCACCGGCUAACUACGUG